UGCCAGCCGCCGCGGUAAUACGGAGGGUGCAAGCGUUAAUCGGAAUUACUGGGCGUAAAGCGCGCGUAGGCGGCUAUUUAAGUCGGAUGUGAAAUCCCCGGGCUCAACCUGGGAAAUUGCCAUUGAUACUGAUGUUCUUGAGUUUGGUUGAAGUAAGCGGAAUGAGGCAUGUAGCGGUGAAAUGCAUAGAUAUGCCUCAGAACACCGAUCGCGAAGGCAGCUUACUAAGCCAAUACUGACGCUGAGGCACGAAAGCGUGGGGAGCAAACAGGAUUAGAUA
This 280-nucleotide ribosomal RNA is filed under the name uncultured bacterium. RNAcentral describes it as "partial 16S ribosomal RNA". It matches the Rfam family "Bacterial small subunit ribosomal RNA", at positions 506 to 784 of the family's 1533-position model. The record is from RNAcentral.